GUCAGGGGCUGGUAGGUCCUAAGGGGCUAGGUCCCGAAGGGGCUGUUCGGGGUGCCGCCAUGACAGGCUUGGCCGGAAGGAGAGGCAGGGCGCCGCCAUGACAGAGAGGAAUAUGAAAGGGCUGGGGCGCCGGCCGGCCCUGCCACGCCUGACUGAGACCGGAA
Pipistrellus kuhlii (Kuhl's pipistrelle) is the source of this 164-nucleotide long non-coding RNA. RefSeq lists it as uncharacterized. The record is from RefSeq and is a predicted model, not a curated record. The transcript is spliced from 3 exons. NCBI's taxonomy places the organism in Eukaryota, Metazoa, Chordata, Mammalia, Chiroptera, Vespertilionidae.